UACGUAGGAUGCAAGCGUUGUCCGGAAUUACUGGGCGUAAAGGGCGCGCAGGCGGUACAUUAGGUCAGAUGUGAAAUGCUUCGGCUCAACCGAAGAGGGCCAUUUGAAACCGGUGUACUAGAGUACAACAGAGGUUAGCAGAAUUCCCGGUGUAGUGGUGAAAUGCGUAGAGAUCGGGAGGAAUACCAGUGGCGAAGGCGGCUAACUGGGUUGUAACUGACGCUGAGGCGCGAAGGCUAGGGGAGCGAACAGG
Molecule: ribosomal RNA, 253 nt
Filed under: uncultured bacterium
Lineage: Bacteria
Description: partial 16S ribosomal RNA
Rfam family: Bacterial small subunit ribosomal RNA
Source: RNAcentral